GCGGGGCGGGGGUGCAGGGACUGCCGCGGAGGGCGUAGGGACCCCAGGGGGGACCGGGACUGAGGUAGCAGAGCGAGAGAGAGCCCGGGGCGGAAGCCGGGACUGAGAGAGCAGACGCUGAGUGCAGGGCCGGAGCCGGGGCUGAAUCCCGAACCUCGGGGCAGGACCCGGCGCUGAGAUCCCAGAGCCCAGCACGGGAGCCGGGACUGGGAGCCUCAGACCGGAGUCUCUCGGAGACCAUCCGCAGCCAAGACGGGCGGCAGUCCCAGCGCGAGCAUCCAUCCCUGCAGACACGCGGCUCACAGCCUGAAGCGCCCACUUCUGCACUGUCCUCGGUUUAGCACAGAUGGACACCAGCUCUCCCCACACCGCUGGGACACAGCCCUCCAGCCCCAGCUUUGCUUGGUGCCGCUGCAUUCAACCCUGCUCUGCUGCCAGGGGGAAACGCAGGCACGAGCAGCUCCAUCGUCCCCACCUUGCUAAUUAAAGCCCCCAGAAAUAGGUCAGGCUAUUUCCAUCCCGAGGCCAUAAUGACUGCUCAACAGUGUUUUCUUUCUCUUUGCCCACGCUAACUCUCCACGUGCAUUUCAUCUACAGAGAGCUUAGGCUUCAAACGCUGCAGCCCCUGAGCCUUGACAUUUUAAAGGAAAAAACCUCCAGAAGCAGUACAUCUAGUCCAGCCCACUGCCCACCCACUUAUCACUGUGGUUUCUUCCACUUCCUACGCAGCUUUGCAUCUCCAAUUGCCAGUCUUUCCCUUUGCAUCUUAUAAAAGAAGUUAUUUAUAUUGCGGUGUCAUCCACGACAAGCUCAGACGAAAGUCUCAGCAUAUGGCAGCAUGUUAUUGAGCAAGGAGCAUUGUGAAAGGGAGCUCCAAACCAGCCUCUCCUGACACAAACAGGCACAUAGGAUGGGUUUUUAUGGUCUUUCUACAAUAAGUGCCACAUUUCUAGGAAACAGCAGGUAAUGCUACAAACCAAUUAUCUGACAAAUGACGGUACAUCUUGAAAAAGAAUGCUUGUAAGUGGCUUUAUUGCUCCUGUGAUAGCACAAGCCUGAUAGCGAGGUCAGCACCAACGAGCUCAGCAGCAAUAAAUACCACGAGUGUCAUAACAGUUGAUUGUAUUAAGCAAAAAUAAAAUAGAAACUGGAGAAGAAAUGGAAGCAAAUGAAAGAAAAGCAGGUCUGCUUUUAGUUACCAACAAGAGGAACACGGUAAUACUGUGUGACAUGUGUUUGUGGGAAAAGGAAGAAAAGCAGAACUAAAAGGCAGAAGGCAGGGAAAGUGGGGAAAAAAAAAAAAAAAGUGUAAUUCUCUGCUAUGUCCCAGGAUUUACAAUGCUUUGCUGCUAUUUCCAACUGUUGUUGACCUGAUCUCUUUCUCCUGGAGCUACCCUCAGCCCAUGCCACUCUAGAUUUGUUAUUCCCCCUUGGAAAUCUUCCUUAAAAGGAGCCUCACCAACUCUGCUUCUCCCCUCUCCUCCACUUCUUCCUCCCCACAAUCAUCAGGUCCUAAAGCAUGGGAAAAUGACAGAUGUUCAAGCUAAAAUAAAAAGGCCUCUGCUCUUUUCCAAGAGAGGGAGAUGUGGCAAGUUUGUGAGCAGGAACAGGAUUACUCUCAGCGUGCUCCAGAUCAGCAGGAAAAAUCUCCUGAUUCAAGGGAAAGAUGCUGCGGCCUAUGAAUUGCAGGAAAAGGCAGAGCUAGUGUGGUUAAAAGGCAAUAAAAAAGGAGGGUUGGGGCAGUGGAGCUGUCAGCUGGCUUCUUCCCAUGAAGAAAAGGAGUUAGUCAUCAGAACUGAAAACUUCAUGCAAGUUCAGCACACAUGGAAACGAUGAAGCGAGGAGCAGCGAGGAGAGGCAGCCAGCAUCCUCCCCACACUGCCUUCAGAGCAGAUUUUGUGGGAUUGCUCGAGGAAAUACCGUGAGGGCUCUCCCAGGUCUGAAGGGGAUGCACACCGCCUGCAUGCAGCACACCUCCGAGCUCCCAUCCCACUGCUCCUGUGAGAUUAGCACACACACUAACAGGGAGAGCCCUCUCGACAGACCCGUGCAGUCUGGACUCCAAAUCAGAUGAACAAAACAGUAAUCCUAUUUUUAAAUGAAGAAAAAGCCACGCACUUGAAGCAGCAAACUGUUCUGUACGCAUGCAGUAUAGAUGCUAUCCCUUUGGAAUAAAGGAGCAGAACAGGAGAAAGUUUCUUCCACUUAGAGGACAUUACCCUAUAUAGGAAAGAGAGACUGUCUUGCACUGCAAUCAUCUUUUUCCCCAUCAGUUCUGAUUGCCAACAUAUCCACAGUCGUGAGCCUGCUUACAGGAUGUGCCUUCUACCCUAUGCAUCUUUUAACAUAUUUUAAAAUCAUACUUAAGGAACAAACUAGUUUCCCAGUACUCCAGCAGCUUUAAUUAUUAAUGUUCCAGUACUUAAACCGAUACAGUAAAAUCUACCCAGACACUGGAAAAUGAGCAUACUUCAUACUUUCAAGGUAACAGACUCACGAUGGAAAAAAUCUAGCUGGGCAACCAGCAGCAUUUGUCUUUGUCACAGUAUUUCCAGCAGCUCUGCAUUUUCCUGAAUGAUGCAGAAACUCCUGCCCCAGUUCCAGCACCCACUUUUUCAUCCCAUCCCUUGACACGGACCAAUCCUCAUUUCUCCUCUCAGCUGAAUCACUCGGAAGGCACACGUUCAAGGGACAGAAAAAUGUCACCAGCUGCUGCUUGCUCUCAAGCCAGGACAACAUUGCCAUCCCACGGCCCAGCACCGCAGUGCAGCUCCCACGUUCGGUGGCUGCUGCCCUUCCAGCACUACAGCUCAUUACGUAGCAUACAGGAAGAAUCUCGGUUUGUAAACUGUGGUAGAGACAGAAGAAGGAAUGAAAGUAUUCAUUUAUCACUGCACAUUUUGCUCUGUGCUGAAAAUGCCUUAUACCAAGCACGCAUUUCAAAACCAAAGCCAUCAGAAGUCAGAUGAAUCGGAGCAGAGCCUGCAUAUCCAACAGCCCAUCACGACAGAAAUCUGCAAUAAAACGUGUCUGCACGUGGGUCAGCCCCAAAACCGAGCUGAGGAGACCUAUUCCAUUGCAGUCAUUGACUGCUUUAUAAAAACUCAUGGAAGUUUUGGAAGAUGCUGGCUCUGGAGCUGGCAAUAUAGGCAGGCUGUGUGCCAGCACUGGAACAGCUGGGCUGGAAGCUCACACAACUUCAGCUGCACAGCAGUGAA
Non-coding RNA from Meleagris gallopavo (turkey), 3218 nucleotides. NCBI's taxonomy places the organism in Eukaryota, Metazoa, Chordata, Aves, Galliformes, Phasianidae. The record is from RefSeq and is a predicted model, not a curated record.